This 253-nucleotide ribosomal RNA is filed under the name uncultured bacterium. RNAcentral describes it as "partial 16S ribosomal RNA". It matches the Rfam family "Bacterial small subunit ribosomal RNA", at positions 524 to 776 of the family's 1533-position model. The record is from RNAcentral.
GACGGAAGGUGCAAGCGUUGCUCGGAAUCACUGGGCGUAAAGGGUGCGUAGGCGGGUAUUUAAGUCAGGGGUGAAAUCCUGGAGCUCAACUCCAGAACUGCCUUUGAUACUGAGGAUCUUGAGUCCGGGAGAGGUGAGUGGAACUGCGAGUGUAGAGGUGAAAUUCGUAGAUAUUCGCAAGAACACCAGUGGCGAAGGCGGCUCACUGGCCCGGUACUGACGCUGAGGCACGAAAGCGUGGGGAGCAAACAGG